UUUUCCCAAAAAUCACAAGCACGCGCAGAAGGUAGCCAAAUCCCUAGAUUCGUUCCCCACGCACGCUGCCUGGGGCUCCCGCCGGUCGAUCCCAUGCCGUCCCACCGCCGCCCCGACACCGCCCGGGGCUACCGCCGGUCGAUCUCGACGCCGUACCAGCGCCGCCCCAUACCGCCAUGCCUCUACAGCGCCGCCCGACGCAGCCAUGCCUCUAAACACCGCCGUGCCUCUAUAGCACCGCUCCACGCCGUCCUGCCCCUUCAGCGCAGCCCAACGUUGUCCUGCAUCUCCACUGCCGGCCCAACGCCUUCCCGCUCUCUCUCCGGGUGGCCGCCUCUCUCCACGGCCACAUCCAGCACAGUUGCCGCCUUCCUCCCUGGCCCGACCUCCCCCAUGUCCACCACGAAAGCACACGCAGCGGUGGCGGCGAUUUGGAUCGGGGCAGCGUGCGGCUGGGCAAGGGCAUCGAUGCGGCUGAGGGAAAGGAUUACUCCGGCGGCGGGGAACGGGGAGCUCCGGCGGUGGGAAACAAGUAGAUGUUCCAGUGGACAAGGCACCUCAUGCUUUUAUUAUUCUCUGGUUCUCCGAUUUGCUGUGUACUGCUGCCAGCUAGUCUGAUUGUGAGAAGCUUUAUGGCAGCGAUAUGAACUAAUUUUAGAAGUUGAGCUGUUGUGUGCAAAUUUUGUUUAUUUCCAGUGCAAAUUUUGUGGUACCGAUAUGAACUAAUCUUUUUUUUCCAUUGGUCAUUUAGUUCACCUUUCACUAAGAGUCAUGUUUACGGUGUUACUCUUGUUAUGCUUCUGCCCAAGAUAAGUAAAUUUUUGCUCUUCCAAAAAGGUUCCCCGGAUAUGUUUCCUGUUUUGUGCUUAGUCUGCCAUGAUGUGUUUAGUCUGCCACCGUGUUUAGUGUCUCAUUGUGCUUGAUAAGAGGAUUGUUCAAAUGUAAAAACUUUCUUUUUACAUGAGAUGACAUGGCUUUUGCCCCCUGUUUUCGCUGACUUGGUUUCUGCAGGUAGCAUAGUGUAUAAUUGCUGGUAACAUUGAGUCGUCAAGGAGAAGUAGCAGGAGGAAAAAUGGCAAGCGCAAGUGGAAGCGGAAAAGCUAAAGGUGGUGGGGGUCAUGGAGGAACAUCUGAAAGCGGUAAGAGGUACAAGUUUGAUGCCGCGCUGAUUGAUGCACAACUUAUGAAAAGAUGUGACAGUAGAAUUAGUGAAGCUGACUGGAAGAACCUUAUUACUUACUGGAGAUCUUCGGUAUUUGAAGCUGUCAAACUUGUCCAUCAGCCUCGAAGAGAUCAAGUUUAUAUCGAGACAAAUACAUGCAAGAAAGGGGAUAAGAAAGGGAGUUAUGUGCCGCAGGCAGAAGCAACAAUUAAAUAUCUCGUAGAGAAAGCUGAAAAGCGCACUGAAUGGAAGGAAAAAGCAUUCAAGAAGGUGAUCUGUUUGCACAUGUAUGUGGAAUGAAGGAGCCAAGGGGUCGUGUUCGUACUUCUGUAUGCAUGGACUGGUCAUGAAACUCCUGUUGCUCAGGCAACAAUUUCCAAAUUUGACCCGCAUUUGGUCAGGCAAGAUAGUGCUAGCUUAAUUUAUGAAUAAUGGAAAAAUAUACUGAGGCUGUGAAGAAGGCUGCCAUCGAGACAAAGAGCGAGCACCCCAAGGAUUAAUGCGUGGCAUAGAAGGAAUGGCUAAAGAUACGCGCGCUUUUAAAAUUUCUAGAAGGGUACCCCUUUUCCUGUCAGUGGUAAUGAAUUCUCUUGAGUUGCUUUGAUGUUCAAGCUAGAGAAUGUUCUCCAAUGAGAUGAAGGAUGAAGGCUUUGAUAUCAAGUGCGAGAACGAUGCAACGAUCUUGCUGGAAGGCUGUGAGGAUGGGUAUGUAGUUGCCCACUACAACGAGCCAAGGUAGAUGAUGUAUUGCAGAAAACAAAGCGACAAACUUUUGCUCUCAGACAGUGAACUAUCAUGUUUCCUCUAUUUAAUUAGUUACAUUAGUUUAUUUAUAGGAAACUUGGCUGGCCAUUCGUUCAUAACUAUUGAACUAUUUAUAUGUGAAAAUUAAUGAAUUUGUGUGACUAUUGUUUGGUUCUGGUUUAA
RNA transcript from Triticum dicoccoides, 2089 nucleotides. RefSeq lists it as uncharacterized. Lineage: Eukaryota; Viridiplantae; Streptophyta; Magnoliopsida; Poales; Poaceae. The transcript has 7 exons. The record is from RefSeq and is a predicted model, not a curated record.